ACUAAAAGGGGGUAACAUGUAAAUGUACAAGUAGUAAGGGUUAAUUAAGUGGGAAAACCCAAAUACAACCUCUGUACGUGCGUUGGGGUCGAGCUAGGGCAGGAGGAAACAAGGGUCUUCCUUGUUCUUGCAAAAACUCAUCAAUUGGCAAGGAGAAACCAAGAUUUGUCUAUUGCAUGUUCUAAAAAUCCAGCCAUCUAAGCAUAUCUAGUAGAUUGGCGUGAAGGAAGAAGGCUCAAGUGCUAAGAAAACGGAAGGUUCACAAGAUCGAGGUAAAUCCUCGACUUAGGCGUAAGGAUGGCUUGGAAUGUGCACACUUGGAUUACGCCUACCACACGCUUCCGUUAAUAAGACUUUGUUUUGAAUGGGUCAAUUGUGGUGUUUUGUACUUAACCUUAACUCGUAUAUGGUACUUAUCGUUGGAAAAUUUUUAGUAGUAAUAGUCGUGUUGUGUUC
Molecule: long non-coding RNA, 456 nt
Organism: Helianthus annuus (common sunflower)
Lineage: Eukaryota; Viridiplantae; Streptophyta; Magnoliopsida; Asterales; Asteraceae
Exons: 2
Source: RefSeq, a predicted model, not a curated record